UACAGAGGUGGCAAGCGUUGUUCGGAAUUACUGGGCGUAAAGGGUGCGUAGGCGGUCCGAUAAGUCCCGUGUGAAAUCCCUCGGCUCAACUGAGGAAUGGCACGGGAAACUGCCGGGCUUGAGUUCGGGAGAGGGAAGCGGAAUUCCGGGUGUAGCGGUGAAAUGCGUAGAUAUCCGGAGGAACACCGGUGGCGAAGGCGGCUUCCUGGACCGACACUGACGCUGAGGCGCGAAAGCUAGGGGAGCAAACGGG
This 253-nucleotide ribosomal RNA is filed under the name uncultured bacterium. Its description in RNAcentral is "partial 16S ribosomal RNA". It matches the Rfam family "Bacterial small subunit ribosomal RNA", at positions 524 to 776 of the family's 1533-position model. The record is from RNAcentral.